This 253-nucleotide ribosomal RNA is filed under the name uncultured bacterium. RNAcentral's name for it is "partial 16S ribosomal RNA". It matches the Rfam family "Bacterial small subunit ribosomal RNA", at positions 524 to 776 of the family's 1533-position model. The record is from RNAcentral.
UACGUAGGGUGCAAGCGUUAAUCGGAAUUACUGGGCGUAAAGCGUGCGCAGGCGGUUAUGUAAGACAGGUGUGAAAUCCCCGGGCUUAACCUGGGAACUGCAUUUGUGACUGCAUAGCUAGAGUACGGUAGAGGGGGAUGGAAUUCCGCGUGUAGCAGUGAAAUGCGUAGAUAUGCGGAGGAACACCGAUGGCGAAGGCAAUCCCCUGGACCUGUACUGACGCCCAUGCACGAAAGCGUGGGGAGCAAACAGG